GGCGAUGCCGGUGCUAUACAUGCAGUCGAGCGACUGACGAGGAGCUUGCUCCUUUGACGUUAGCGGCGGACGGGUGAGUAACACGUGGGUAACCUACCUAUAAGACUGGAAUAACUCCGGGAAACCGGGGCUAAUGCCGGAUAACAUAUCGAACCGCAUGGUUCGAUAGUGAAAGACGGUCUUGCUGUCACUUAUAGAUGGACCCGCGCCGUAUUAGCUAGUUGGUGAGGUAACGGCUCACCAAGGCAACGAUACGUAGCCGACCUGAGAGGGUGAUCGGCCACACUGGAACUGAGACACGGUCCAGACUCCUACGGGAGGCAGCAGUAGGGAAUCUUCCGCAAUGGGCGAAAGCCUGACGGAGCAACGCCGCGUGAGUGAUGAAGGUCUUCGGAUCGUAAAGCUCUGUUGUUAGGGAAGAACAAAUGUGUAAGUAACUGUGCACAUCUUGACGGUACCUAACCAGAAAGCCACGGCUAACUACGUGCCAGCAGCCGCGGUAAUACGUAGGUGGCAAGCGUUAUCCGGAAUUAUUGGGCGUAAAGCGCGCGUAGGCGGUUUUUUAAGUCUGAUGUGAAAGCCCACGGCUCAACCGUGGAGGGUCAUUGGAAACUGGAAAACUUGAGUGCAGAAGAGGAAAGUGGAAUUCCAUGUGUAGCGGUGAAAUGCGCAGAGAUAUGGAGGAACACCAGUGGCGAAGGCGGCUUUCUGGUCUGUAACUGACGCUGAUGUGCGAAAGCGUGGGGAUCAAACAGGAUUAGAUACCCUGGUAGUCCACGCCGUAAACGAUGAGUGCUAAGUGUUAGGGGGUUUCCGCCCCUUAGUGCUGCAGCUAACGCAUUAAGCACUCCGCCUGGGGAGUACGGUCGCAAGACUGAAACUCAAAGGAAUUGACGGGGACCCGCACAAGCGGUGGAGCAUGUGGUUUAAUUCGAAGCAACGCGAAGAACCUUACCAAAUCUUGACAUCUUUUGACCACUCUAGAGAUAGAGUUUUCCUCUUCGGAGGACAAAAUGACAGGUGGUGCAUGGUUGUCGUCAGCUCGUGUCCUGAGAUGUUGGGUUAAGUCCCGCAACGAGCGCAACCCUUGAGCUUAGUUGCCAUCAUUAAGUUGGGCACUCUAAGUUGACUGCCGGUGACAAACCGGAAG
RNAcentral lists this ribosomal RNA (1150 nucleotides) under Staphylococcus chromogenes. Its description in RNAcentral is "bacterial SSU rRNA". It matches the Rfam family "Bacterial small subunit ribosomal RNA", at positions 38 to 1169 of the family's 1533-position model. The record is from RNAcentral. Lineage: Bacteria; Bacillati; Bacillota; Bacilli; Caryophanales; Staphylococcaceae.